Molecule: non-coding RNA, 67 nt
Filed under: Chromera velia
Lineage: Eukaryota; Chromeraceae
Source: RNAcentral
AGAAAGAAAAGAAGAAAAAGAAAGGACAUAUAGUCUGUCUGUCUGUUUCUAUAUUUCCGUUUUUGUU